Molecule: non-coding RNA, 761 nt
Organism: Hydra vulgaris (swiftwater hydra)
Lineage: Eukaryota; Metazoa; Cnidaria; Hydrozoa; Anthoathecata; Hydridae
Source: RefSeq, a predicted model, not a curated record
AUAUUAUUUCUUGUUAGUUGUAUUUUUGUAUACUUAAUACUUACAUUUUUUUAAGUCACUCUUUUUUUUCUGUAGACAAUUUAGAACAAACAAUCAGUAAGUUAAGUUUGAAUUGUUUUAGUUACUAUAUCAUUUAAAGUAUUUUUAUGCUGUGUUAGUAUUCCUUGUUGAAUAAAUGUUUUGAUUUAAAAGUUUUUUUUAAAAGAUUUAAGUUUAAGAAAAAAGAUUGUUAAAUGGUCAAUUAAUGUAGCACAUAAAAACAGAUUUAAAAAUCAACUGCAUCGAUGCAAAGUGAGAGAUGAAAUUUGCCAAAGACAAAAAAUCAAGCGCCAAAAAAUGGAUGAAAAAGAAAAAAGAAAGUUAGAGCGUGAGCUAUCCAAAUUGAGUUUUAACGAAAUUAUUAAUUCAUGCAAGCGCUUGUCCAAUGACCAACUAUUUGAUUUAGAAGAUGUCAUGUCAGAUAGAAUUGUUCGGAAGAAACUAGAACAUGAAUGGUACGAUCCACAAACAUGCAAAAGUGUUUUAUAUAGUGAAAGAGUAGAAAAAGUUAAUAAAAGAAAAAAUAACUUUAUUUAGACCAUUUCUUACUGGAAAGAUGAUGAAACUGAUAUUGGAGCUGUUGACUAUUGCAUGAAAAAGAUCCAGCUUGCUGCUGAUGUUGUUUUCAGAAAUUUGUUUAUUAACCGAAGAAAAUGGUUAGCUUGUUAACCAUACUGUAUGGUUCUGUUAAUGUGAGAAUCACAUGAAAGACAAUAAUAUAG